CAAUGAAGGAAGCACGGUAAUGUUCACAGAAAUUAAAUUGGGUCUUUAGGCCUGCACUCUCUGAUGCUAUUUGGCUUUGAUUAGUGGGUAUGGUUUUGCAACAAAACA
This is a small nucleolar RNA of Rhododendron vialii, 108 nucleotides long. RefSeq annotates it as small nucleolar RNA snoR100. The transcript has a single exon. Lineage: Eukaryota; Viridiplantae; Streptophyta; Magnoliopsida; Ericales; Ericaceae. The record is from RefSeq and is a predicted model, not a curated record.